GCUUACUGUAGCCUGAAAUUGGGUUUGGGCUUUUUUUGCGCAGCCUAGGUGGGAGGCUAAGAAAAUCCCCUUGUGGGGGGGGUUUGAGCCAUCAGUGAGAGACCACUCUAAAAGAGCUAGAAUUCUAAUGGCGUCCCUUGAAUCAGGGCGCUUGACAGUUUCAGGUGGGCAGUUUGACUGGGGCGGUCGCCUCCUAAAAGGUAACGGAGGCGUGCAAAGGUUCCCUCAGGCUGGACGGAAAUCAGCCUUAGAGUGUAAAGGCAGAAGGGAGCUUGACUGCAAGACUUACAAGUCAAGCAGGGGCGAAAGCCGGCCUUAGUGAUCCGACGGUUCCCUGUGGAAGGGCCGUCGCUCAACGGAUAAAAGUUA
RNAcentral lists this ribosomal RNA (369 nucleotides) under uncultured organism. RNAcentral's name for it is "bacterial LSU rRNA". It matches the Rfam family "Bacterial large subunit ribosomal RNA", at positions 2098 to 2465 of the family's 2925-position model. The record is from RNAcentral.